CCUGGUGACAAUGGCGGAGGGGACACACCCGUUCCCAUCCCGAACACGGAAGUUAAGCCCUCCAGCGCCGAUGGUACUGCGAAAGCGGGAGAGUAGGUCGUUGCCAGGC
Molecule: ribosomal RNA, 109 nt
Filed under: Gammaproteobacteria bacterium
Lineage: Bacteria; Pseudomonadati; Pseudomonadota; Gammaproteobacteria
Also listed under: 1 other name
Source: RNAcentral